CCUACGGGAGGCAGCAGUGGGGAAUAUUGGACAAUGGGCGAAAGCCUGAUCCAGCCAUGCCGCGUGUGUGAAGAAGGCCUUCGGGUUGUAAAGCACUUUCAGUGGGGAAGAAAGCCUUGGGGCUAAUACCCUCGAGGAAGGACAUCACCCACAGAAGAAGCACCGGCUAACUCCGUGCCAGUAGCCGCGGUAAUACGGAGGGUGCGAGCGUUAAUCGGAAUUACUGGGCGUAAAGCGCGCGUAGGCGGUCUGAUAAGCCGGUUGUGAAAGCCCCGGGCUCAACCUGGGAACGGCAUCCGGAACUGUCAGGCUAGAGUGCAGGAGAGGAAGGUAGAAUUCCCGGUGUAGCAGUGAAAUGCGUAGAGAUCGGGAGGAAUACCAGUGGCGAAGGCGGCCUUCUGGACUGACACUGACGCUGAGGUGCGAAAGCGUGGGUAGCAAACAGGAUUAGAUACCCGAGUAGUC
RNAcentral lists this ribosomal RNA (465 nucleotides) under Vreelandella stevensii. RNAcentral describes it as "partial 16S ribosomal RNA". It matches the Rfam family "Bacterial small subunit ribosomal RNA", at positions 338 to 795 of the family's 1533-position model. The record is from RNAcentral. Lineage: Bacteria; Pseudomonadati; Pseudomonadota; Gammaproteobacteria; Oceanospirillales; Halomonadaceae.